This 1111-nucleotide long non-coding RNA is filed under the name Helianthus annuus (common sunflower). Lineage: Eukaryota; Viridiplantae; Streptophyta; Magnoliopsida; Asterales; Asteraceae. The record is from RNAcentral.
CUCAAACUCACACACACAGCCGCACUCUUUCUCUCCCUACAAAUUUCGGCGACCGGACUCCGGCCGGCGGAGCCGGCGACGAUGACGGCGGCGGUACGGCGGACGACGGAGGUGGCGAAGUUCCGGCGAGGAUUUUCACGGCGGACUUGGGUGUAACCCCCCUAAAUCGACCCUCCUGAGUUCGAUUCCGGUGUCGGUUCCGUCAUCGGAGCACCGGAAGUGACGAUUUCACCUUUGGCAGCCGCGAGUUUGAGUCUCCUUCUCUGGUGACGUCUGAAAUCAACCAUCUUCUUCAUCUACUUUUCUGUUAGUUCUUUCUGGAAUCCACCAUUUUUGGCUCGUUGCGUGAUUUUCAAGUACGACUGAUAGUGGUGGUUAGUGGAGACGAAGAUGGGGCUGUGGUGGUGUUCCGACAGCGGAAGCGUCGCUCGCGGCGGCGGCGGUUCAGUCCUGAUUCAGGUUCGGGUUCCGGCCGACGUGAAUGAACUCCGGUGGACAUCAGUCCGGUUUGUUUCCAUUCAGAUAUAAUCUCGGUUCGUUGUUCGGUUCUGGUCUCACAACAUAGACGGUUCGGGUCAGAAUCUGUUUCAGGUUUUGUUUGGUUUCGUUCGAUUCCGGUCACUGACGACAGCCGGAGCCGCAUCUUCGGGAAUGGUGUUGGCGGGGAUGGUGUCGGCAGUGGUGUCGUUUCAGUCUCAACUCGGGUUAACUCAGUUCAGUUUUGAGGAGUGAUUUAGCGUUCAGGUCAAAACAGGUCAAACAGUCAACGUGGGUUUCGGGAUCUGUCCCGUUUCUGUUUCGGGUCAAACUUGGUCAACCUUCGGUCAAGCAGGGUCAACUAGUCAAACACGAGGUUGGGGUGGCUUCGGUGUUCCAUCCUCCUAAUCUCCGACAUUCGUCAACACUUGGAUAAUCGGAAGACUUAGCAAUAUAGUUGAUGAUUGAUGAUGCUAAGAAACGGAUUAGCAAAGAUGCCUAGAUACUCACUUAGACGUUUAGGUUUAAAGUAUUGUAUCAAUUUUGUUAUGUUAUGUUGAACAAUGUUGUUAUUCGAAUAUCUUGUAAUUGUUAUGAAGUCUCUUACAAUCUUGAACAAGUCCCACUCCGAUGA